UACGUAGGUGACAAGCGUUGUCCGGAUUUACUGGGCGUAAAGAGCGCGCAGGCGGUCGUUCAAGUCGAGUGUGAAAGCCCCCGGCUCAACUGGGGAGGGUCACUCGAUACUGAUCGACUCGAAGGCAGGAGAGGGUAGUGGAAUUCCCGGUGUAGUGGUGAAAUGCGUAGAUAUCGGGAGGAACACCAGUGGCGAAGGCGGCCAUCUGGAUCAACACUGACGCUGAGGCACGAAAGCGUGGGGAGCAAACAGG
Molecule: ribosomal RNA, 253 nt
Filed under: uncultured bacterium
Lineage: Bacteria
Description: partial 16S ribosomal RNA
Rfam family: Bacterial small subunit ribosomal RNA
Source: RNAcentral